This 464-nucleotide long non-coding RNA is filed under the name Musa acuminata (dwarf banana). RNAcentral describes it as "long non-coding RNA (MACU_LNC001596)". Lineage: Eukaryota; Viridiplantae; Streptophyta; Magnoliopsida; Zingiberales; Musaceae. The record is from RNAcentral.
GUCACGGUGGAGAGGAUCACCGCGGCCCCCAUCACCGACGCGAAGCUGAAGGCCAACCUCGAUGUGUGCUGGAAGAGCUACGUGGACUCGCUCGACACCCUGCAGAAGGCGGGCAGUAACCUGCAGACGGGGGCGCCACACAACGAGUUGGUCAGCCACAUCUCGGCCGCCAUCACCUACGUGGGCCACUGCAACGACGCCUUCAGCCAGAACCCCGGCCUGGUGUCGCCGGUGGCGGACGUCACUAGUAUCCUAAAGAAGCUCAUCAGCAACAGUCUUGCCUUGGCCGUGAGCCUACAGUUCCACCACUAAGUAGUAUGCAUGCGUGUGGAACGUCGAGAGCGAGAGAGAGGAAGAGGAAGGGUCAAACGUGUUGACCAUGCAUGGAGGACGUAAUCUUUAUAUGUGAUUGUAAUAACGGUGGAUAACAAAGAGCCUGAAGGAGUUCCGAUGCUAAUUGUUUA